Molecule: ribosomal RNA, 491 nt
Filed under: uncultured bacterium
Lineage: Bacteria
Description: bacterial SSU rRNA
Rfam family: Bacterial small subunit ribosomal RNA
Source: RNAcentral
GACGAACGCUGGCGGCGUGGAUUAGGCAUGCAAGUCGAACGGUAGGAUACCUUCGGGUAUCUGAGAGUGGCGAACGGGUGAGUAACACGUAGGUGAUCUACCCUCAAGAUUGGGACAACCCAGGGAAACUUGGGCUAAUACCGGAUGAAAGCAGCAGUGAUGUUGUUUGAAAGGUGGCGUAAGCUGCCGUUUGGGGAUGAGCCUGCGCUCUAUUAGUUAGUUGGCGGGGUAAAGGCCCACCAAGGCGAUGAUAGAUAGGCGGCCUUAACGGGUGGUCGCCCACACUGGGAUUGAGAUACGGCCCAGACUCCUACGGGAGGCAGCAGUCGAGAAUAGUCUACAAUGGCCGAAAGGCUGAUAGUGCGACGCCGCGUGAACGAAGAAGCCUUCGGGUGUAAGUUCUUUUAUUAUGUGGCAGUGCUUUCUAUGUGAACAGCAUGGGAGAGAGAUAUAGCAUAUGAAUAAGCAACGGCUAACUCCGUGCCAGCACG